GUUAAGCGACUAAGCGUACACGGUGGAUGCCCUGGCAGUCAGAGGCGAUGAAGGACGUGCUAAUCUGCGAUAAGCGUCGGUAAGGUGAUAUGAACCGUUAUAACCGGCGAUUUCCGAAUGGGGAAACCCAGUGUGUUUCGACACACUAUCAUUAACUGAAUCCAUAGGUUAAUGAGGCGAACCGGGGGAACUGAAACAUCUAAGUACCCCGAGGAAAAGAAAUCAACCGAGAUUCCCCCAGUAGCGGCGAGCGAACGGGGAGCAGCCCAGAGCCUGAAUCAGUGUGUGUGUUAGUGGAAGCGUCUGGAAAGGCGCGCGAUACAGGGUGACAGCCCCGUACACAAAAAUGCACAUGCUGUGAGCUCGAUGAGUAGGGCGGGACACGUGGUAUCCUGUCUGAAUAUGGGGGGACCAUCCUCCAAGGCUAAAUACUCCUGACUGACCGAUAGUGAACCAGUACCGUGAGGGAAAGGCGAAAAGAACCCCGGCGAGGGGAGUGAAAAAGAACCUGAAACCGUGUACGUACAAGCAGUGGGAGCACGCUUAGGCGUGUGACUGCGUACCUUUUGUAUAAUGGGUCAGCGACUUAUAUUCUGUAGCAAGGUUAACCGAAUAGGGGAGCCGAAGGGAAACCGAGUCUUAACUGGGCGUUAAGUUGCAGGGUAUAGACCCGAAACCCGGUGAUCUAGCCAUGGGCAGGUUGAAGGUUGGGUAACACUAACUGGAGGACCGAACCGACUAAUGUUGAAAAAUUAGCGGAUGACUUGUGGCUGGGGGUGAAAGGCCAAUCAAACCGGGAGAUAGCUGGUUCUCCCCGAAAGCUAUUUAGGUAGCGCCUCGUGAAUUCAUCUCCGGGGGUAGAGCACUGUUUCGGCAAGGGGGUCAUCCCGACUUACCAACCCGAUGCAAACUGCGAAUACCGGAGAAUGUUAUCACGGGAGACACACGGCGGGUGCUAACGUCCGUCGUGAAGAGGGAAACAACCCAGACCGCCAGCUAAGGUCCCAAAGUCAUGGUUAAGUGGGAAACGAUGUGGGAAGGCCCAGACAGCCAGGAUGUUGGCUUAGAAGCAGCCAUCAUUUAAAGAAAGCGUAAUAGCUCACUGGUCGAGUCGGCCUGCGC
This 1122-nucleotide ribosomal RNA is filed under the name Escherichia coli. RNAcentral's name for it is "partial 23S ribosomal RNA". It matches the Rfam family "Bacterial large subunit ribosomal RNA", at positions 1 to 1164 of the family's 2925-position model. The record is from RNAcentral. Lineage: Bacteria; Pseudomonadati; Pseudomonadota; Gammaproteobacteria; Enterobacterales; Enterobacteriaceae.